GACGAACGCUGGCGGCGUGCCUAAUACAUGCAAGUCGAACGCUUCUUUCCUCCCGAGUGCUUGCACUCAAUUGGAAAGAGGAGUGGCGGACGGGUGAGUAACACGUGGGUAACCUACCCAUCAGAGGGGGAUAGCACUUGGAAACAGGUGCUAAUACCGCAUAACAGUUUAUGCCGCAUGGCAUAAGAGUGAAAGGCGCUUUCGGGUGUCGCUGAUGGAUGGACCCGCGGUGCAUUAGCUAGUUGGUGAGGUAACGGCUCACCAAGGCCACGAUGCAUAGCCGACCUGAGAGGGUGAUCGGCCACACUGGGACUGAGACACGGCCCAGACUCCUACGGGAGGCAGCAGUAGGGAAUCUUCGGCAAUGGACGAAAGUCUGACCGAGCAACGCCGCGUGAGUGAAGAAGGUUUUCGGAUCGUAAAACUCUGUUGUUAGAGAAGAACAAGGACGUUAGUAACUGAACGUCCCCUGACGGUAUCUAACCAGAAAGCCACGGCUAACUACGUG
Molecule: ribosomal RNA, 508 nt
Filed under: uncultured bacterium
Lineage: Bacteria
Description: partial 16S ribosomal RNA
Rfam family: Bacterial small subunit ribosomal RNA
Source: RNAcentral